RNAcentral lists this small nucleolar RNA (134 nucleotides) under Dasypus novemcinctus (nine-banded armadillo). Its description in RNAcentral is "Small nucleolar RNA SNORA31 (ENSDNOG00000045451.1)". It matches the Rfam family "Small nucleolar RNA SNORA31". From Rfam's summary of the family: ACA31 (SNORA31) belongs to the H/ACA class of snoRNAs which are thought to guide the sites of modification of uridines to pseudouridines. ACA31 is predicted to guide the pseudouridylation of U3713 in 28S rRNA and U218 in 18S rRNA. The record is from RNAcentral. Lineage: Eukaryota; Metazoa; Chordata; Mammalia; Cingulata; Dasypodidae.
AUGCAUCUCUGACAGACCUGGAGCAGUUAAUAUCUGCUGCUAAGGUUUCCACUACAGAUGCAAGAAAAAGAACGUCCUCACGGUUUUCUGUCUGUCUAGUUGUGGCAGUCAAGAUUGAAUGGGGGAAUCCAGGA